GACGAACAUCUGCUCGAGGACACCCUGCUCGACGAUGCUCCUCUUCGCUAGCAUCUCCAUUGCAUGAUAGGGGGAGAGUUCUUGUACUCAGAGCAGCUGUUGAUCUGCAGCAACUCUAGAAGUAGGAUUUAGGAUAAUCAUAGUUUCAGUUUGCCAAGCAGGGAGUAUAAUUUAACUGGAAAUCAACCAACUAUUGCUUUGAACUGGAGUAUAAUUACUGAAGCGGGUCGAAGUGGGACGAUGUGGUUCGGUGGUCAACGGCGGCUGCGCGGGAUGCAGUAUGGUAUGGCUUGAGCAUCUCGAGGAGGGGCUCUCUCCGCAAGGCAUCCUCUACGCCACGGCGGAGGUGUUCGAGUAGUCUGUCCCGGGGCUGCGCGUGGAGCACGUCGACGUCUCCGUCUUGCCAUUGCUCAGCACCGCCCUGCCGGCUGGGGUUCUUAUUUGCCAUCGAGGCCUUCCGCAACUGGGACCAUGGUGCCUGAUAGCUUCCUCUCCGGCUGGAUCGGCAGUCUAUCCACCCAGAGGAGUGUAAUGUUGAGAUCAAUGUCGGGAUCCGCAGGUUUCUAUGGCGUAGCAUCAGAUUAAUAUUGCCAAGCCUGAGCUGGCGGUUCAUAUGGAAGAUCCCAUGGGCCAGCAGCUGGAGCCUGGAAGCAGAUGUUAAUGCUCCAUAGCAGAGAGUUUAGGUUUACAGCAAGCAGCAACUACCAAAUUUUCCAUGGUUAGUGUUGAUUCCUAAUGAUCUGUGGCUUAUAACAUUGACGACAACAUCUAGGCUAUCUCAAAUUUACCAUCAGAUUAGUGAUCUUUAUGCAUGAUUGGUUUAAAUU
Molecule: long non-coding RNA, 827 nt
Organism: Triticum aestivum (bread wheat)
Lineage: Eukaryota; Viridiplantae; Streptophyta; Magnoliopsida; Poales; Poaceae
Exons: 5
Source: RefSeq, a predicted model, not a curated record